ACAAAAUAAAAGGUAAUCCUGGGAGAAAAGCUAUUAGAGACGUAAGACUGUGGCAGAAGUUCAACAUCCAUUAGGACAUUGACUCUGAACAUACAGCCAGAGCUACAAGAUAAUGGUUUAGAUCAAAGCCUGUUUGUG
Molecule: long non-coding RNA, 138 nt
Organism: Xiphophorus couchianus (Monterrey platyfish)
Lineage: Eukaryota; Metazoa; Chordata; Actinopteri; Cyprinodontiformes; Poeciliidae
Exons: 3
Source: RefSeq, a predicted model, not a curated record